UGGGUNCUAGUAGGCAAAGGAGCUCUCUGC
Molecule: non-coding RNA, 30 nt
Filed under: Homo sapiens (human)
Lineage: Eukaryota; Metazoa; Chordata; Mammalia; Primates; Hominidae
Source: RNAcentral